CCUACGGGAGGCAGCAGUGAGGAAUAUUGCUCAAUGGACGAAAGUCUGAAGCAGCGACGCCGCGUGAGGGAUGAAGUCCGUUUGGAUGUAAACCUCUUUUGCAGAAGAAGAAUGUUUCGAUUUCUCGAAAUUGACGGUAUUUUGCGAAUAAGCACCGGCUAACUACGUGCCAGCAGCCGCGGUAAUACGUAGGGUGCGAGCGUUGUCCGGAAUUACUGGGUGUAAAGGGUCCGCAGGCGGGCGAGUAAGUCUGUGGUGAAAUCUUACGGCUUAACCGUAAAUUGCCACGGAAACUGAUUGCCUUGAGUGUGAAAGAGGAAGAUGGAAUUCAUGGUGUAGCAGUGAAAUGCGUAGAUAUCAUGAAGAACACCGGUAGCGAAGGCGAUCUUCUGGUUCACAACUGACGCUCAGGGACAAAGCGUGGGGAGCAAACAGGAUUAGAUACCCUGGUAGUCCACGCCCUAAACCAUGGAUACUCGAUGUCGGAUCGAAGUNUUCGGUGUCUGAGACGAACGACGAGUAAGUACGUACCGACCGUCGGGAGGUACGGACGUCGUCGUAGGUUAGUUAACGUACGUUAAGGUUAAGUUAGUUACGGCGUUGAGACGUUGCGACGGACGACGACGAGGGAGGAGG
RNAcentral lists this ribosomal RNA (636 nucleotides) under uncultured bacterium. RNAcentral's name for it is "bacterial SSU rRNA". The stretch from base 1 to 532 matches the Rfam family "Bacterial small subunit ribosomal RNA", at positions 338 to 873 of the family's 1533-position model. The record is from RNAcentral.